AUUAGCUAGUUGGUGGGGUAAGGGCCUACCAAGGCGACGAUCGGUAGCUGGUCUGAGAGGAUGAUCAGCCGCACUGGGACUGAGGCACGGCCCAGACUCCUACGGGAGGCAGCAGUAGGGAAUCUUCCGCAAUGGACGAAAGUCUGACGGAGCAACGCCGCGUGAGUGAUGAAGGCUUUCGGGUCGUAAAACUCUGUUGUUAGGGAAGAACAAGUACGAGAGUAACUGCUCGUACCUUGACGGUACCUAACCAGAAAGCCACGGCUAACUACGCGCCAGCAGCCGCGGUAAUACGUAGGUGGCAAGCGUUAUCCGGAAUUAUUGGGCGUAAAGCGCGCGCAGGCGGUUUCUUAAGUCUGAUGUGAAAGCCCACGGCUCAACCGUGGAGGGUCAUUGGAAACUGGGGAACUUGAGUGCAGAAGAGAAAAGCGGAAUUCCACGUGUAGCGGUGAAAUGCGUAGAGAUGUGGAGGAACACCAGUGGCGAAGGCGGCUUUUUGGUCUGUAACUGACGCUGAGGCGCGAAAGCGUGGGGAGCAAACAGGAUUAGAUACCCUGGUAGUCCACGCCGUAAACGAUGAGUGCUAAGUGUUAGAGGGUUUCCGCCCUUUAGUGCUGCAGCUAACGCAUUAAGCACUCCGCCUGGGGAGU
RNAcentral lists this ribosomal RNA (650 nucleotides) under uncultured bacterium. RNAcentral's name for it is "bacterial SSU rRNA". It matches the Rfam family "Bacterial small subunit ribosomal RNA", at positions 240 to 881 of the family's 1533-position model. The record is from RNAcentral.